CGUUAAAUAUUUAACAGCUAUUGACAGUGGCAUAGCCAGAUAAUAUCACUCCUUGGGCAUGGCUAUUUCACUCACAGCUAUUAUCUUUUAAAUAAGCAAUCAAUCAAUUCAUUUUCUGGGGGUGUAAACGCUUCUCGAGGGUGCAAAAUACCAAAGAAUGCCGAAUGGUGAAAUAUUCUGGCACACCCAUAGGAAAUCUGCAAACUCUUCAAGUCAUCCAAAGAUGCUGUUUCAAAAGAUACAAGAGAUGGGUAACACAGUUAUCCAGUAUAGAAGCUGUCAAAAAAGCAUUGGAAUAAUCGACGUCGUACCCAGGCUCAUGAACGGGAAAGAGCAAAUUGAAGAAGCAAUGAUUGUGGGACGUUGGGUAUGAGUACCACUACGCAUGCGC
This is a long non-coding RNA of Dendronephthya gigantea, 391 nucleotides long. RefSeq lists it as uncharacterized. The transcript has 3 exons. Lineage: Eukaryota; Metazoa; Cnidaria; Anthozoa; Malacalcyonacea; Nephtheidae. The record is from RefSeq and is a predicted model, not a curated record.